Molecule: long non-coding RNA, 253 nt
Filed under: Malus domestica (apple)
Lineage: Eukaryota; Viridiplantae; Streptophyta; Magnoliopsida; Rosales; Rosaceae
Description: long non-coding RNA (MDOM_LNC020381)
Source: RNAcentral
ACCUGAGGCAUCGUCGUUGUCUUGUGGUUAAGUACUUAAUCUUUGAUUAUGUCAAAGUCUCCCCAUUCGAGGGCGUCCACGGCAUAAUUGGGGUUAAGCAACUUAGUCAUGAAGGCAAGUGUAUGCGCAACAAGGAAUCUCUAAUCCUCGAUAAGAGAGGAAGAAUACUCUAAGAUAUGAUUCGGGAAUCUUCGGUCGAAGUAUCGAGCGUAAUAAAGGAAAGCGUUCCUAUACGACUCAAUUGGAUCAUAUA